UUUUCCAGAUCAUUUCAUUUGAUGUUCACUUUUCUUUUUUUUUUUUUAAUUUUUUGAUUUUACUGGAUAGAUGAUUCUGGAAGCCAUAGAGGCAUUGAAUGAGAGAGAGGGCUCCAGUAUGUCAUCCAUCGCCAAGCACAUCGACUCCACUCACUCCGAUCUCCCAGCGUCUCACACCACUCUCCUCUCCCACCACCUCAACCAGAUGAAACAAAUGGGUCAAAUUGUUAUGUUGAACAACAAUUACUCGAAACCCGACCCCAAUGCCCCACCCAAGCGUGGACGUGGACGUCCACCUAAACCCAAGGUUCCUCUUCCACCUGGCGUCGUCGUCUCUCCUCCCAGACCUCGUGGUCGUCCGCCUAAGCCGAAGGACUUAUUGGCUCCCCCCAAGCCCAAACCCGUCAGCACCGGAAGGCCGCGUGGGCGCCCCCCUAAGAAGGCCAAGACUGGUACCGCCACCGCUCCACCACCUCCUCCCGGCGUGAAGCGAGGCCGCGGUCGACCUCCCAAAGUGUUACCGUCGGUGGGUUUUCAGUAAAGUAGCCAAGUUAAUAAACGAAAGAGAAUGGAGAAAAGGACUCAUUCCGUCACUGCUCCUACCCCAGCCGCGUUAGGUUUAAUAUUUUUUUAACCUUAAUUGUUUAGGUGUGGUUUAGUUAUCUGCUAAUUGACGUUUUAGCUUUUUCGGUUUUUUGUUGUAGUUAACUUUUGGUGGAGUACUGUAAUGAAUUUAGUGUAGGGUUUAGAUUUUACUUGAGUUCGACUCUUUGUAAUUUCAAUAUGUGAUUUACAUGUAAACCUAUUACUCUGUCAACCGGUGAUGACUCGAAACUUUAAUUUGUUGUGGUAAUUAUGGCAGGUUUGAUGUGACUUGUCUUUUUUUUUUCUUCCCCCGCUUUUUUUCAAAAUCAAAUUGUUAAUUAUAUUUUAUUUUUAUUUAAAUUGAAGAUAUAUUACUUAUUUUGUCAAAAAAUUAUUUAUAGUUAUUAUUAAAUAUUAGUAUGUCAUGUUACUGUUUAGUUAUGCUAGUUUUACUAUUUGGUAGAUUGGGUUAAUUUGUUUAUUUUUAAAGUAAGGUAAAAUGAAAUUUAAUUUCUGAUACAAGAAUUUUCAUAGUAAUUUUACCUUUAUGUUUUUCAUAUCUAAUUUCAUUUAGUAUUAUUUUAUAAUAUUAUAUCAUGCUACAUUAAAUUAAACUGUAAGAGCUAAUUUUUAAAAAGCAAUUACAUUUUAUGUAAAAUUUUUAAAAAUUUUAAAAAUCUGUUUGAAAAUAAUUUUAGAAUGAUAUAAGAAUUUGAUUUAUGGACCUUUGGAUUUAUUUUAUUAUAUAAAAGAAUUUAAAAAUUAAAGUUAAUAAUUUCUCCCUUUUUCAAGAAAAAAUUGAUGUAAACUCUCCUAAAUCAAAUUUUAUUUUCAAGUUGCACUCCCCCUAUUUAAAACAUGAAGACAUUGUUUUGAAAAAAAAUUGAAGCAAAUUGCUUGAAUUUCAAUAAAGGAUAGAAAAUGGAGUUGAUUGAAACUCAUAUUUUUUAUAACUUAUGAGCAAUGUUCUAAGAUUGAGAAAAUUGUGUUGCCAUUGCUUAUAGCGUUAGUGAACUCUGCAAAAUUUGGUGGGAAUUCUUUUUUCGCCUUUUUACAGGAAUAAUGUAAAAUUAUAAAAUUAUAUAUUAAAUUGGUAUGUCAGUUAAAUUAUAUAUUAAAAUAGUAUACUAAAGGUAAUGGAAGGUAGUGCAUAGACAACAUUACUUUUCCUUUUUUUUUUCUGAAAAUUAUUUUUUAAUAUUUAAAUAAUAAUAAUUUUAUAUUAGUGGUGCCUUAUUGGUAGGAGGUACCACAAAAAAAAAAAAGGAGGUGGUGCCACACUCACUGGUGGCACCAGUCACGCCUCCCUGACAGGAGGCACUGGUGACAAUGGCACGUCCUUUCCGUCAACCACACAAUGCACUGCAAAUGUAGUGUUAAGUCUUGUUGAAGCAUGAGAAGAAAGAGGCAGUAGCAGAUGGGGGACUUUAUUUACUAUCGUCCUUGUAGAGAAGAUCCGGCAGAGGGAGAAAAAAAGAGAGAAAGAAUGGAAAGGAAGGAGAAGAAAGAAAGAAAAAAGAAGGCAUAUUUGUUAGUAAUUAUUAUUUUUAAUCUAAAGGGAUUAGUAAAAAAAUUUAAAUAGAUGGGAUUAGUUAUUUUUUAUGUUGUUUUUUUUAUUUAUUGUAAAGUUUUUUGGUUAGUAAUUAUUAUAAAUUGUUUGUGUUUAGUUUAGUGUUUUAUUGUGAUUUUUUAUGAAUGUAAAUUUUUAAAAAUUAUUUUUUAGUAUUUAUGAUUAGGUUAUAAAUUGUUUGUGUUUAGUUUAGUGUUUUAUUGUGAUUUUUUAAGAAUGCAUUUUUUUAAAUUAUUUUAAAGUUAUUUUGUUAGUAAUUUAUGAUUAGGUUAUAAAUUGUUUGUGUUUAAUUUAGUGUUUAUUUUUAAUUUUUAUGAAUGUAAGUUUUUUUGGUUUUUAAAAAAAAAAUUAUUUUGUUAGUAGUUUAUGAUUAGGUUAUAAAUUGUUUGUGUUUAGUUUAGUGUUUAUUUUUAUUUUUUAUGAAUGUAAUUUUAUUUGUUUUUGAUUUAUUUGACAAUUUUUUUGAUUUAUUGAAAUGUUGAUUAAAUUUGUUUUUAUAUAAUUUUAUAGGUUGUUUGAAUGAAACUAAACAUUCAUAUUUCUAUUUUAUUUUUUGUUGAUUCGUAUGUUUUUUAUGUUUAGAUACUUUAUGUUUAUUUUAAUUAUAUUAUUAUUAUUAUAAACUAACAUAAAAUUUUUUCUGUAGGUAAAAUAUUGGAAUUUAUGAGUUUUUUUGUUGUAAUUAUAUUAUUAUUGUACUAUAUUUAUCGUAUUAUUUACUGUAUGUAUAAUAUUAAUGGGUUUUUAAUAAUUAUUGAAAAUGGACCCUCUAGAAAUUAAUUAUCAAAAUUUGUUAUUGUCAACAAAUUGUUAGGGUGUCUCAGUUUUGUAUUGUAAUAUUGUUUCUCCUAUUAUUGGGAUAAAAAUGCUCAAAUCCAAAUUAUUUACCUAUUGUACUGUGUUUUUUUUUGCAACAAACUAAUUGAAUUCUUUUUUUUUUUUAAAUUGUAGAUUUGCAACAAAUGAAUUCUUUGAUUAAUAAUGAUGAUCACAUAUAAAAAAUUAUUAAUGAGAUAGUAAUAAAAUUGUUAUUUGUUACUCACGUCAUUUACAGAAUUAUAUUAGGUUAUAUUAACUAUUUCACUAAUUUAAUAAUGUCAGGGUUUGUACCGUGCAUUGAGGGGUCGUGUGAAUGGUGUAAGCUAUUUGCCGGAUGAACACCUCUUGCCAUAUUUGGAGUUAGCCGGAUUCGAAUCAGCAGCAUUGAUCCAUAUCUUUGAUUUGCGAUACGACUUAAUAUCUACUUUGGUGGAGCGAUGACGCACAGAGACUCACGCAUUUCAUUUGUCGUAUGGGGAGUGCACCAUCACUUUGCAGGAUGUUGCAUUACAACUCAGGCUCCCCCUCGACGGGAAUGCACUUACUUGGACGUUCGCUAAGUGAGGGGAAAUUUACGGGUUUGAGGUUUUUAAGGCUAAAGGUCAAUUUUGAGCAUUUACCGAGUACUGCCAUUGAAUGGAAGGUGAUGUACACCGUUCGAUCUUACAUUAUGCACAUUAUAGGGGGUGUACUCAUGCUUGAUGCCAACAAUAACAAAGUCCAGUUGAUGUACUUGCUCCUAUUAUCUGAUUUGCAUAACUUUUAUUUGUAUAGUUGGGACUCCAUAGUGUUAGCUAUGUUGUAUCGUGAACUUUUUCGGACGAUAAAUCCUUCUGCCGUGGACAUAGGCAGAUGCCUAAUAUUGUUGUAGUCUUGGGUGCUGUACCGGAUGCCAUUUUUAGCAUCAAUUAGUCACCAAUCAUAUAUAUUUCCACUUGUGAAUAGGUGAUGAAUUUUUACUCAUUAUAACAAUUAUUUGACAUUUUUUUCGGAUGAUAUUAUUCUAACAAUUUGUUUUUGUAGAUGGAGUACUAUCCGAGUAUUAGGAGGUCAUACACGGUUCCGAUAUACUGUCUAAUGAUUGAGAAUCAUGCUGGAGAGGGGGAAGUUUUUCUAAUAUUCAUGAGAUUUUAUUAUUUUAUCUUACUUGACCUAUGUUAAUAUAACAAUGUUAUUAAUUGUGUAGUUCAUCUGGAUGCCCUAUUCUAUCCUGAAAAUUAUAGUGGUUAUUCCAUCGUUUGCCCACGUCUACUAGAGACCUAAGGUGGAUUAAUGCACCCAUUAUUAAUUUUCAGAUAGUGGAGUGGUAUCAUGGGGAUCGAGUACACUGGCAGUUUAGUUGCAUACAGUAUAUUCUGACACUGCCAAUACAGUUGGUGGACAUCUACGAGAUUAACAAGAGGGGGAAACAUGAAAAUAAUUGGGCGGUAGUGGAUGAACAAUAUAUUGCAGAGUGAAACAACUAGUUGGGGCGGAUACCUUAGAUGGAUCGUGCUUUGGAUCUACAACCCUAGUUAGAGUACAUACAGUGGUACUCUGAGAUGGGGAAACCAUCUUUAUUUGGUGGGUGGUCGAUGAUAGUCCUUCUGCAUAUGACAAGACUUGGGAAACCCUCCUAUUCCUUUCUACAUCCGCCUCUAGAAUCAGAGCCAGAGCUACACUAUUGGGAUAGUUCUUAUCAUCAAGACUUGGGGUGCGAUGACUAUUUCCCAAGCUCUUCAGGCCACAUAUAUCUUUUAGAGUUUGAUAUUUUUAGCCCAUUACCACCGCAAUACUCCACUUCCCCCGGCUCAAGUUCAUCGAUGGCACUUGAGGCAUAUGAUUUUUCUUCUAUGUUUCAUACACCUCUAUGUGCGGGUGAAAGGAAUGUUGAUCGCUGCAAUCACUCGAAACGUGAAUGUCGACCUCCGCAAAAAUAUACCCCUAGGACCAUUCCAUCAAACCAUCAAUUUUAGGGGUUUUUGCAAUUUAAAUAGUUAAGUUUGUAUUUAUUUAAUUCUACAAAAAUAUAAAUGAAAAAAUAUAUAAAUUUUGUAAUUCAAAUUAUAUUAAUUGCAACAAAAUUUAGUAAAAUUUUGUAUUUAUUUAAUUGAGAUUCAUUGCAACAUUAAAAAUAGAACAAACUUUGUAAUUUAAAUUAGAUUAAUUGCAACAUUAAAACGAGGAACAAAAUUUGUAAUAUAAAUUAGAUACAUUGGAGUACAUUAGCUCAACUCCUACCCGAUCGUGACGAUUGUCCAAUAUGGUAGUUUCAAUGCGGACAUUUACACCGAUUAUAACUAGCUAAUCUGCAUACACCAUAAAGGUUCCCGUUUCUCCAUAAUGUCAAUUUCAUUAUGGAUUUUAGAUUAUUGUUGACGACCUUUCAAAUUCCUAAGCAAAUCCUUUGUCUGGGAUAAGCUCGAAAGUCGUUGGAGGUACCUACCACGUAGACAGGUUAGGCAGGACGGGGAUCUCGUUCUCCCAGACACACAACGUGCGUUUGAGGGUGUACACCUAAUUGAUAAAUUGUUCAACAUUGAGUGAGACUUUGACACAGGGUGUCACGACAAGCACACAGGGAUAAUGAAGUGUCUGGAACCUCUUACAAUCGCACUAUGUAUUCCGGAGAUCAACUCCGUAGGACCUAGGUGGUAUACCGGUCGACGAUUGAUUGUCUCCGUAACUUGAAACAUUUUAAGAUAUCGUGAGUAUACUUUUACAUUCAUCGACCACGCCAUCCGACAGUUUGCAACCAUUGCAUCCUUGACAUAUUCAAGAAACACGUGUCCUACCUUCAUUUGUAGCCAACCUGUAGAAUGUAGCCGAGAACAUAGAUAAAAUCAAAUGAUGUCGUUUUUUCAUCAACACGGAGCUAACCCCCUUAGCCCAGUUUGUGGUCAUAUGACUAUAGCGAAAUCCAACCUAUAGAAGGUAGUCGAGAACAUAGAUGAAAUCGAAAGAUGUCGUGUUUUCAUCAACAUGGAGUUAACCCCUUCGCCAAGUUGGUGGUCGUAUAACCAUAGCGAAAGCUCUCGUCGAAACUUUGAGGUCAUUGCCACGGCUCCAUGGUACCCAACCACUGUCAGAAAGGUGUGUUCGUUUCACCCUCCAUAUCACUCUCAAGUCGAGCCAUCUUUUGCCAAAAAAUGUGUGACUCUAGCUCAUACGUUGUGUUUGUAUUAAGAAAAAAGAAAUUAUAGUCUCGCCCUAAAACAUUAAAAUGUAUAUUGAAAAGAUAAGGUCAUCAUUUACCCAUUCUCACAACUUGUCUCCGCCAAUCUGCAUUCUUAGAAUCUCGGUGAAAGUUAGCCGCAAUGUGCAUGAUACAGUAAACAAAUCUCCAUGGUACACUGGAACGCAUAAGGGCGGCAAUUAAUCCUUUCCCUCUAUCGGGGAUGAUGCAAAUAUUAUAGUUACUAAUAAUAUACCUCCGCAAGUUCGUAAGAAAGAAUUUUCAUAAUUUCAUAAUUUCCUUAUCCACAAUGGCAAACGCUAUUGGAAGCAUAUUCUUGUUCCCGUCUUGAGCAACUACAAGAAAUAGGAUUUGUGUAUAUUUACUAUAUAGCCAGAUUCCAUCUACUUACACAAACGACUUGUAGCGGGAAAUUGUGCGCACGCAUGGGUCAAAUGUCCAGAAUAUCUAUUGGAAAAUUAUUUUUCCUAGUUGUAGUUGGUUAUCCGGGCUGUAAUAAGGUCAUGUCUGCAACUCAAUUACAGUCUCAGACACGUACUUUUGCAUAGCAGCUAUCCAUCCCUAUAGCUCAUUGUAUGACGCAUCAAAAUCUCCGUACAAUUGCUUAAUUGUUAGAUGUUUAGCUAUCCAUGUCUUUCGGUAUGAUACUCAAUACUGGAAUCGUGUCUACAUUUCAGAAAUCUAUACCGAAACUUUAAUGGUUGGCAUGUCAUUCACCACUGGUAUGAUGCACGUGUGAGUUCUAACAAAUUUUUGUAUCUCCCACAUCUGUGACUUUUGGAUAAAUGCGGCUCGUACCUGCCAAUUGCAGCCUUACGUCGACCUCUAACACUUCCAUAUAUAUAAUGUCGGUUUAGACACGGUAACUUUGUAAUCCACUACACAUUCAUGUUAUACCGCUUAAUGGGAAAUACAAAAUAUUUCUUAAUUUUGAAUCUCUGGCCUAUGAACAACUUCUUAGGAUCAGAAUCUACGGAUAGCCAGUGAACAUGUAGUAUUUUAGGGUACUCCAGGAACUCGGCUGCGUGCUAUCCAUCUGGGUCUAUGAGCGACAUGUGUGCCCCAGGAUUAUUGUGUAUCACAAUAGGUCGAAUUUAGUUCCUGACUAAAGACAUGUUAACGUUUCCAUCAUCAUUCGAGCCUUCAUCGUUAAUAUCAUUUGAGACCUCGUCCACAUCGGGAUCACUAUCACAAUCAACCUCAUGAUUAGAAGCAUCACUACUAUCACAUCCAUCAUCAUCAACCACAUCAGUUUCGGAUGCAGAAUUAAGAUCGAUGUCAAUCCCGUGUACAGUUGAUUGACUAUCAACAUAUGAUAUCAGAACCACCAUACACGUCUCUUGAGCUUUAUAUUAUUCACUUAGUGGAGUGAGAUCUUCAGUUGGCUCCAUACCAGCCAGUUCAUUAGUGCAUUUUGGUCUAUUCGAUUCCCACAAUAAAGAGCGACUCUUGUCUCCACGUUUUUAUCGUGUACAAGUUUCAUCUUAGUGAAUUUGAUGGGAUUUGUCGAAACUGAAAACUUGUAGAAAAGUUUUGAGAUCCUUCUCUCACAAUGUCUAACAAUUUUUACACUAAUCAUUUCCUUCAUAUUAUCAAAUGAGACAUUUCUAUUAAAUCUCAUUGUUAUUUGUUGGCAACAUUCAAAUAUACAUCCAACUGUUGUUGUCAAAAUUACCCCAUCGAAAUAAAGGCAUAGGAAGAAUUGAUUAUCCAUAUUUAAUACUAAAUCUGUUAAAAAAAUGAAAAUUCUCAAAACAAUUUCAAACAGCAAAAAAUUACUUCAAUAAAAGAUUUAAUGAAAAAAGGACCAAAAUUAUGUCAAUAUGCAAAACUUUUCAUUUAUAAGCUCAGAUUUUUUUAGUUAUCAUUUUGUACAUGUACAACCACAUUUACUCAUUUUUUUCAUAUUCUCUACUCUCUAACGUUUACAUUAUCUUUACAUUUAACCACUUAAACUAAUUUCUAGGUUUUCUUCCAUCUACGAUUCUGUAUCUUCCUCCGGGAAAUUCUUUAUAUAAAAUUUUGAAUUCUUUUCAAAUUCAUCUUUUACAAUCCAAUAUGGAAAUUCCUCGGGAUCUUCUUCCUCUUUAAUCUUUAUAACGGGAAUCGAAUUUAUAAAUUCUUUUGGUAUUUUCCUAACAACUAAUUUAUCUAUCCAUGGUAGGUCAAAGACAUUUUUAUUCUGAGUCAACUUUCGAGAACCUACACUUUCUCUCGCUAUUUUCCUUGCUUCAUAAGAGAUUAUAAACUUCACAAAGUAUGUAACUAUAUUCCAAUAGGUUUGUGGUACUAAUGUCUUCCAAAGUUGGUCUAAAAUGAUUUGAUACCCGUGUUCUAUUAAUGUCCAUCUAAGGUUCAAAUAUUGCACUUUAUUCUUUUUAAUCAGUUCAUGAAACUUCCAUAACACUUCUUGUAUCUUUUGAUUUAUGGUAAUAAGGUGUUGAACGAUGCCUUCUUCUGGUUUCAUUCUAUAAUCUUGCAAUUCUCUCAUUAUGUUAUCAACUUUCUCUCUUUAUGCUGAACUUGUUAUCUCAUUAGGUAAUAUCAGAUUUACUGCCAUUUCUACCAAUAUCUUUGACAAAAAAUAAUUUUUUUCGGAUUUCAGUAUUUAUCUAUUUUCCUUUGGUGUCAUUACUAACUAACAAUUAAUCUAUAAUAGUAACUAACAAAAUAACUUUAAAAUAAUAAAAGAUUACAUUCAUAACCUAACAAUAAACAAUAAACAUUAAACUAAAUAAACAAUUAACCUAGUCACAAAAAUUACUAACAAAAUGUAACACCCCUAAUCCAUAUCCGUCGCUGGAAUAGAGUUACGAAGCAUUACUGGAGUUUACAGAACAAAUACGGUUAAUUCAUGAAAUUUACUAUUUAUAUAUGAAAUCAAUCAUAUUCAAUCAUAUUGUCCCUUAAAUGGACCCUCGAGGCCUAAUUUAUGUGUUUGAAACAAAUCGGGGCUAAAUCAGAAACUCAGAGAAAUUUUCGUGAAAUUUCAAAAAUUUUCCUAGGUACAGGGGGCACACGCCCGUGUGGCCAGGUUGUGUGGCUCACACGACCAUUGACACGCCUGUGUCUUAGGCCGUGUGGGCAUUCAGUGUGAGGCACACGGCCGUGUCUCAGCCCGUGUCCAUACCCGUGUAACUCUGACUUGGGUCGCACGGCCAGCCACACGCCCGUGUGCUAGGCCGUGUGGACAAUUUAUUUUUCAAAAAUUAGGUGUAAGGGAUACAUGACCAGACCACAUUCCCAUGUGCAGGCCCGUGUCUCUGCCCCUAUGGAUGAAAAUUAGCCAUUUUAUGGCCUCUUUUCUCACCCAUUCUUGACUUCAACCUACACACCUCAAAUUUCAUUCAUAUAGGCCAUAACAAGAUCUCUAAAACAACCAAUUCCUAACUUUAAUACGGUCAUAUUAUCACAUAUAUUCUAACAUUCUAAUUAGAACAUAAAUCAAUUCACACAUGUAACUUCUUAUAUCAACAGGUUUUACCAAUUUGUUCAUUACUAAGCCUAAGAACUAUCCAUCCAUUAACCACACUAAUGCUAUACUAAACAUGAUAAAACCAUUCAUAUAUAAGUUAACUUGAAACAUAAAUAAAAGGUAAUUAUUGACAUUUACACAACCAUUUCAAUCUCUAUACAUGCCAUAUAAACCAUAAUAUAUAUUACAAAAUCUAUCGGAAUAAGUUGGAUAGUGUGGCCUGAUGUGUUGAUCCGAUCCCCCGAUCUCAUGUUAAUCUACAAAGACAUUAAACAAACAAGUUCGUUGGCUUUUAAACUUAAAUCUUACUGAACAUACUAUAAUAAUUCUGUUAAGUAAAUCAUUCAAUAUACUAUUCCUGCCAACCACAACUUCAAUCGAUGAAUUCAUUUAUUUCAGAUUGAUAUCAAUAAUAACUUUAAAUCUUCGGACAUUAAUUCCAUGUCACUUACCAACCCUUGUAAAAUCGGAGAACGCCUUACAGAUAUGAGUACAUCGUAUUCAGGAGCUCGAAGGCUACAGAGAAACACAUAAGUGCUAAACAGAAACCCAUAAAGGUUGAACGGAAGCUCAUAAGAGCUGAACGAAAGCCCAUAAGGGUUAAACUGAAGCUCAAAAUAACUAAACAGAAACCCAUUAGGGUUAAACGAAAACUCAUAUGAGUUAACUAAAGCUCAAGAGAGCUAAACGGGAAGUAAACACGGAAGUUCGCAACAAAAGUUGAACCUCGGUUUACUUGGGUAAUUUGCCGUCAAUUCCUCAUUUGUACUGAACGACUGUACUCAAUCUCGCGUUCCAUUUCAACAAAUGAUAUGAAUAAAUACAAUAUAGCAUUCAUCAAUCUAAUAUAUAAUAUUAAAGUUUAACCAUACGAACUUACCUGGGUAAAAUUAUGAAAUUUGUAAUAGUUCAAGGACUAUUUUGCUAAUUUCCCUUUUUCACGAUUAUCUACUGGCUCUUGAUCUAAAAUAUAAAAUUAUUCAUUUAGUAGCAUAUAUUUCAAUUCUAAUUCACUUCACAAUUAAUACCCUCCAAUUUUAAAAAUUACACAAUUACCCCAACUUGUAUAAUUUUACAAUUUAGUCCUUCACCAAUUACCCUAUCAAAUGAGCUAAUUUUCUCAAAUGACAAUUUUAUCUAAAUAUUCCAAACAAUCAUACAACCUUUGAUCAACAGAAUUUUAAUAUCAAACCCUAAUAUUUAAUCUUUUCAGAAUUUAGUCAUAAAAUCAAUUUCUAUUGAAAACACUUGAUAAAAUCAUCAUCUAAUAAAAUUAAAACUCUAAAUCCAUGUUAAUUCAUCACAAACAUCUAGCACUCAUCAAUGGAAACUUUUAAAAUUACCCAUAAAAUCAAAAACUAAUUACAUAAAUACUUGGACCUAAUUGUAAAAGUCUUAGAAACACAAAAAUUUACAAGAAAAGGACAAGAAUUGAACUCACUUGGAGCAAAAAUAUGAAAAUCAGCUUAAGAAACCCUCCUAUGGCGUUUUGCUGAAGUUUUGAAGAGAAAAUGUCUAGAAUUCUCUUGUAAUUUCAAUUUCUAAAUUUAAUUUCCUAUAAUUUACAAUUUUACCAUCCAUUCCAAUUAUUUGUUAUUUCUUACCUACCGCCCCACUAAUUUAUUUUGGGCAUAAUUUCUCAUUAAGUGCUCCCUUAUUAAAUUUUCAAGCCAUUUGAUCACUAUUUCUUUGAUUAGCAAGUUUUGCACCUUUUUGAAUUUAAUCCUUUUUACUAAAUUAGCUAUCAAAGCAUUAAAAUUUUCUAAUGAAACUUUAAUACUACCUUAAUUACCCUCCGUAAAUAUUUACGACUCGGUUUAUAAAAUCGAGGUCUCGAUACCUCGUUUUUGAAACCAAUUAACCUAAUAGAUCCUUGUGAAACACAAAUUAUUAAUUCCAAAAAUUUUUCUAAUUCCAUAUUUGACUCGUAAAUACUAAAUAAUAAAAUUUUCAAACUCACUUGUCGGAUUGAGUGGUCUUGAACCACUAUUUCCGACACCACUGAAAAUUAGGCUGUUACACAAAAUUAAUUAAAAAUUAAUUAAAAACUAAUAAAAAAAUUACAUUCAUAACCUAACAAAUCACAAUAAACAUUAAACUAAACAAAAAAUUAACCUAAUCACAAAAAUUACAAACAAAAUAAGUUUAAAAUAAAUUAAAAAUUAAUAAAAAUUUAUAUUUAUAACCGAACAAAUCACAAUAAACAUUAAACUAAACAAAUAAUUUAUAAUAGUUACUAACAAAAUAACUUUAAAAUAAAUUAAAAACAACAUAAAAACAACAAUAAACAAACUACACAAUACUAAUAAAAUAAUUUAUCAUCAUCAUAAUCCAGUCUAUUUAAAAAACAAAAACAAAAAUGCAUUAUCCUUUUUUUUCUUCUCCCUUUCUUCUUUCUUCUCUUCUACUAUCUUUUUUUUUCUUUUUUUUUUGUUAAACUACUUCUCUUCUUCAUUAGGGACCAUUAAAAGGACCCCCAAAUCUGCUUUAUUGGUUCCACCUAUCAAAGAGGGGUCAUUGGCGCCGCCUAUCAGAUAGGGCAUAUACUAAACUCGAAACCCUUUUCUAUCAGAUAGGCGCAUAUACUGGUACCGCCUACUGAUAUGGCACCACCGCUAUAUACCAUUCCGGUAUUUCUAUGUGGGCAUAUACUAAACUCGAAACCCUUUUUUUUGUGGUGCUGCCUACCAAUAAGGCACAACUAAUAUAAAAUUAUUAUUAUUUUUAAAUAUUAAAGAAUUAAUUUCUAAAAAAAAGGAUGAUAUCGCCUAUGCUCCACUCUCCACUGCCUGUUGUAUACCAUUUUGGUAUAUAAUAUGAGUGACAUACUAAUUUGAUAUAUAAUUUUUUAUUUUAUAUUAUUACUGUAAAAAAGCCCUCUUUUGAUAUAUAAAAAAGGAUGAAUACAAAUGAAAGCACAAAAUACUAAGUGAACUCCUAUUUGAAAAUCAAAGCAAUUUGGAAGAGAAACAUAAUCAACAUUUAAUAAAAUGGACAAAUAAGAUUAAGAUUAAAAUUAAAAAGUAAAUGAUAUUUUAAAAUCAAACUUUUAUAAAAUAAUAUAAUUAUAUUUAAUACUUAUAUUUAUUAAUUUAUCAAAGAAUUUUUUAAUAUAAAUUUAGUAUUUAUAAAAUUUAAUAGUGAAAAUCCAAUAUUCAAUUUUUUUAACACUAUUUAUCAAACACACUCUAAAAUACAACAUAUAAUAUACAAAAAGUGAUGUAAAAUAUCCAACUAAAACAAAUCAAGCAUCUGAUCGGAAAAUAGAAAAAGUCCAAAUAUAGAUAAAAUACCCAAUUAGCAAGCAUAUGCAUUAAACUAAAAUAAAAAAAACAAAUCAUCUCAAGGAAAUUCUAAGGGUAUGUUUAGUAUUGCUUUUAAGAAGUAGUUUUAGGACAAAAAAUAUUUUUACCAUAAAAACAUUCCUAAACAAGUUACUUUUCGACAGAAAAAGUACUUCUCCUAAGUCAAAAAUUGGCACAAAUGCACUUUUUUCAGAAACUAAAAAUUUAAGCUUUUCCCUUAAAGUGUUUUUUUUUUUCAAAACCACUUUUGAGAAUCAUUGUUAAAUUAAGUUGUAAAAACUUAUUUUUCAGUAAUAUCGGAAAUAGUAGUUUUGAGACCACAAAUUCAAAGAGUAAGUCCGUAUUAAUUAUUAUUUAAUUCAUACAAGUCAAUUAUAAUUUUAUAUUGAACUUUGAUUAGAUAAAUUUUAAUUUAUUGAACAAAUAGUUUAGUAUAGUGGUUUGUUCUGUAAGUCAAGUGGUUUUCCGAAAUGAGGUAUUAAGAGCACGUUUCUGUAAAUUGAGACUAUAAAUAUUUUUAUUAAAUAUUUACAGAGUUAUUAUUUUGAUAUGUGAAGGUUCGGUUUAGAAAUUUUAAUGUUUAGAUUGUUAAUUAAUUAAAAAAAGACUAAAUCAUAAAAAGUGCAAAAGUCAAUCGCUAUUAGUGUUUUAGUGCCAAUCGGGCAUUUAAAUAAAAUAGGGUGGUUUAAUAUGGUAAUGAAAUCAUUUCAUUAGUUAGGGGAUGGUACCUGAGGUGAUCAUGGGUCGGGCUGAGCCGGGCCUAGACAAAAUUUUAGGCCCGUUUUCUAGGCCCGAGCCCAGCCCAGCCCAGCCCAAAAUAUGGGCCUAAAAAUUUGUCUAAGCCCGGCCCGAAAAGAAAAUUACUAAGCCCGAGCCUGACCCGGCCCAACCCAUAUUAAAUUUUACAACACCAAAAAAGUAUAUAUUUAAUAUAUAUUUGAUUAAAAAGUAUAUUUGAUUAAAAAUAAAAAAAAUAUAUUUAAUAUAUAAUUCGGGCCGGGCCAAAAAAAAUUUACCCAAGGCCCAGCCCAUUUUCUAAAUGGGUCUCUUUUUUUGCCCAAACCCAUAUUUCGGGCCUAUAUUUUUACCCGAACCCUCUCAUUUUUUGGGCGGGCCAUCGAGCCGGGCCGGGUAACCCAACCCAUGAUCACCUCUAAUGGUACCUAAAUGGAAAUGAAUUAAAAAUAUGUGGUAAUGGCAUUUUUGUAAUUAAUUUCGAUUUAAAACAAAAGAAAAUAAAAGAAAUUGUCAUAAUCUUUAUGGUAUUUUGGCUUGAAAAUUGAAUACCAUUGUUGGGAGAAGAAAGGAGCUUCAGUUUUCCAUUUUACUUUGCAUGUAAGUGUUUUUAACAUCCGUUUUUCAUGAAUUUUACGUUUUUGAAAUCAUUGUAACUAGAUCUAGCUAACUUGUAUCUUUGUUUUUGAAAUUGUUAAAGAUUUUAGAUUUUGCCAUUAAUGAAUUUUAAUUUUUUUUUUAUGUUGGAUGAAAGAUUUAUGAUCUUGAUUGUUGUUUAGGAUUAUUUUGUAAAGGAAUUUUAGUUAGUUUUUAGUUAAAGACUCAAUUGAUAAAAUAUUAAAAUUGACAGGGAAUUCUUGUGAAUUUGGAAUAAUUAUGGGCUAUAGUUGUAUAAAUGAAAAUACGGUUAGCAUGACAAAUUAUGACAUUUUGAUAAAUUUGGAAUUUUGGGUUUAGGGACUAAAUUGAGAGAAAUGUAAAAGUUUAAGGAAAAAAUUGUAAAUAGGAAAUCAUUUGUACUAAAGUGAAUAUUAUAUGAAAUUGAGGUUAAUAAAUUGAAAAAAGUUAUUUUAUAGAUCAAGAACAAGUAGAUAAUCGAGGAAAAAGGGAAAGUUGUUGAGUAGUCCCUGAACCUUCACUGUCUCUAUAGUUUAGCCUAGGUAAGUUAUGAUUUGUUGAAUAUUCAUAUAUAUAUAUAUAUAAUGUUAUAAUCAUCAAGUUAAUUUAAUGUGAGAAAUGUAAUUGAUUUGUAAAAUAUUUUGCGAUUACUUGUAUCGAACCCGGAUGAACAUAAGAUAGGGUACAAUUGGCAUGCCAAUAGGUUACAUUGCGCGUUGUAUGGGAUUGACUUGUAAUGAAAUGAUGAUUCUUGACUUGUUAUUGUCCACUGAAUAUACUAGAGUACAACAUUUUUUGCAGACUACCGUGAUAUAUUAUAGUGAUUUUGUUGUGUUACCGAGGGUGGAUGUAAAGUCGUCGGGCUUGGCACUUGGUGCCUAGGUGUGUUCCGGAGGGAUGUGAGCCUACGGGCUAGACAUUUGGUGCCUAGGUGUGUUCUCUGUUGGUUUAGCUCGUUUCAGCAUUUUGAUGUGUUUUGGAUAGUUAACCGCGUAUCCGUAUCAGUUUUAUCGUUCAUCGGGCGAAUUCCUAAUGGUAGAUGACUUGUUAUGGAAUUAUGGAAUGUUUGUAUGAUUUUUCUGAUAUUAUCGUGACUUGAUAUCAAAUGAUAUCGUGUGAUUUAAUGGAUUAUGAAACUCGUACAUACAUAUAAACUCAUCUAUUGAAUGAUUGUGGAUGACAUGAUUAUUGAUUAUUAAUAUUGCUAAUGUAUAAUUGAUACGUUUAUAAGGUAAAUUUUAUUGUUUCGACCGUUGAACUUUUUAAGUUCAAUUUAAGCUUAGUCGUGUCAUUUUUCUGUUUCUUUGUAGAUAACAUUUGGUGAAAUCGGACGAUCGGAUCAACAUGAAGAUUGCACUAUCCAGAUAUCUAUCGGUAGAUUUUGAAUGUUUACCUUUGGGUUAUAUGACAUGUAAUAGGUGUGUUUUGAUAUAUGUUUUGAAUACUUAUUUCUAAUGGUAUAUGUAUGAGAUUGAUGUAAAACUGUUUAAAUUUGGUAUUAGUGUGUUUGUGUGUUUGCCUAUGGUAUGACAUCAAUAUGUCUUUGUGAACUUAUAUUUGGCUAUUUGAUUCAAGUUUCAUAAUGGCAUGGUAUUGAAACAUGGCAAGUUUAAUGUAUGCUUUAGGUAUGGUGUGUGAACUUGAUUGCCAUUGAGUAGUGUAAAUAUGUAUUUGUUUUGGAUAUUGAAUUGUGAUUUCAAUGAGAACACAUUGGUUAAGCAUUUAGGUUGGAUGAUUUUGGCAUGUUUCAGGCUCAUUUAAUUGUGUUUCGAAUAGCUUUAAUUAAUGGUAAAUGAGUUGCCUGAUGUCCAAGUAAGCAUGUUUUUGUGACGUCCCAAAAAUUCAAGUAUUUGAUUUGUUAUAUUUUAUCAUAAGUUAAUAUUUGCUUCAGUGGUUAAAUGUCUCAAAUCUAUGACUGAGGCCUUAGGUUCAAAUCUUAGUGUGAGCAAAAAAGGUUUAGUUUUUACAAUUUUCGGUCAAGGGUGCAUGGGGUGGAAUUAGAUUGAAAAUCAAAUAUUGGGUAGUUAUCAGGUUGUGGGAUAGAAUUGUUGGGAUUAUCUUAGUUUCUUUUAUUUUUAUUAUUUUUGGUAACCUUAAAAAUGAACUUCAUUUUUCCCAUGUUCUUCUUCUUUUUUGGCACUUCUUUUGUUUUUCUUGUUCCUUCACUCCUCGUUUUUGUUUUCCUUCCUCUGCGAACAAAAUUCAAGAUUAAUUUUGGGAUUCUCCUUGUGGCCUUCCAUUUAAUCAGUUUCGUUUGGAGUUUUUUCUUGUUCAAAUUCGUUUUACUGUUAAUUUGGGGAGAUUUACGAGGCAGUGAGUGUUCCUCAUCCUUUGAAUUACUGUGGGUUGUUGUUAUCGAGAGUAAUGAGAUUUUCAUCCUUUGAAUUACUUCAAAAUCAGACCAAGCGUGUAACAAGAAACCCAAAAAAUAGUGAACAACAAAAGCUGAAAUUGGGCACUAUCGAUGCCACACGUCCGUGCGCCAGAUUGUGUGGCUCAAACAUAAUCGUGUGUCCAUUUUACAUGCCGUUUGGCUACUCCACAUGCACGUGUACUUAGGUCGAGGAGUUCACUAACUUGCGUCACACAGCCGUGUCGCAGGCAGUGUGCCAGCUUGUGUGAACCCUGCACCUAACACAAUAGGGGCAUACGCCCGCGUGGGUUUCUCAUGUUUGGUGCACAGCCGUGCGGCAGUCCGUGCCCUUGGCCGUGUGCAUUAAAAAAAUUAGUUAAAAUCAUGCCAUUUUCACUCCCAAAUGCUUAGGUGCCUAAAUAGACUAAAAGUACGUGCAUACCAGCCUUCAAACCACAAUCAAGAACACUCAAACCAUGUCAAAAACCUAUGUGCCUAACCAAUGAGCCACCAUUAACACCACAAUUCAAAUACAUAACAUUAAACUAAUUAAGUUAGCAUUUCAAUUCACAAGUAUAUGUCCUAGUGAUUAGCAAUCACUCAAGCGCUAUACCAUAGUCUAUGUCAAGACUUACCAUUUCUUAUACUCAUUCAACCACAACCAUGCAUCAUGCAAACAUACACCAUGUAACACCCGAAACCCGACCUAGGAGUUAUGGCUGAAUCUGGCGGUGUCACAUUGAGGUGUUUAACGUAAAACUUGUUGUCGUUGAAAUCUUUAAAAUCAAUAAUCAUUUUGUUAUUAAACGGUGAUUCCAAAACGGGUUGUUCAUUUCGAAGCGUGCAUCAUUAAAAGCUAAAAACUUUUAAAACGUUAUAAAUUUUCCAAUAUCUCAUUUAUUACGGAAGUUUUUUUCUUUUUUUUUAGAAAUGUUGCGAAAACGUGGUGUCUUUGAAAACAGUUACCUUUUGAAAACCUGGGUUUUUCUACAACUAGCAGUUUAUAUCAAACUAAAUAAAUAAAAACCCCAAUUUAAAGUUUAUAACUUUAAAGAGGCAUUUUUACAUAAAAAUACCCAAAUUCAGUUACUUAUAAAUCAAAGGCUAAAAACGAAAGCUGAUGCGGUUGUGUGGCCAUCAUCGAGUCCCUCGUAGCACCGAUCCGCUUACAAUUUUGGAUUACCUGUACAGUUAAACAUAGGGGCGAGUUUAUGAAAACUAUGUGUGUAAUCCCCUAGCAAGCAAACAGUCAAUUAAACAGUAGAUAAAUACAGUUUGGGUCUGAGCCCGUUACAGUAACAGUCCAGUUCAGUGUGGCUUAAUCCUUUUCCCAUAACAGUAAACGAUUGGGCUUGAGCCCAUCACAAUGCCAGUAAUCAGUAGGGCCUUUGCCCAAUUUCAGUAAUAGUAUCAGUGGGGCCUUGGCCCAUAACAGUAACAAAUAUCAAUCAUGUAGUAAACAGUAUGUAAUAUCAUAAAUCGAUGCAGUAACAGUACAAAAUCAUUAAUCAGUGUAGAUAUGCAAUUAGAAAUCCUACCCAAUCCAGCCUCUACACACCAUUCCGUCCCGCCAAACACCAUGUGGGGAUAAAAUCGACCCACCUAGCCAGAUACAUCAAGAUUAAUACCAGUUGCGGCACUAAACAGUAUUGCUGUAAAGUUGCCAGUAAAAUAAAUGGCAUAUAGCGAUCAGUAGGUCCACAGUCGUCUUGGAUGACCCGUGUAACCUUAUCAGUACGGUACACUUCCUCCAAAUAUAACAAUCCAUCCCUAUGCAAUUUAUCGUGACAUAAUAUCAAAAGUGUAUGCAAAAUGUCAUGCUCAAUCAUAGUCAUACAUACCAUAGAGCAAAUCAGUCAUACAUAACAUAAGGUGAUAACAGUCAUUUGACCCUAUGGUUGUAUUUCGAUCAUUCUACCCUAUGGGGGUAUUUCGGUUAUUUUACCCUAUGGGGAUAUUUCGAUCAUUUUACCUUAUGGGGGUAUUUCAGUCAUUCUACCAUACAGAGGUAUUUCAGUCACUCUACCAUAUGGGGGUAUUUCGGUCAUUUUACCCUAUUGGGGUAUUUCAAUCAUUUUACCCUAUGGGCUAAUUCAGUAAUUUUACCCUAUGAGGGUAUUUCGGUCAUUCUACCCUAUGGGGGUAUUUCGAUCAUUUUACCCUAUAAGGGUAUUUUGGUUAUUCUACUCUAUGUGGGUAUUUCAGUCAUUUUACCUAUUUUGGGGUCUCAGUGCAGAUAUCGACCUCUCGAAAGGUCCGCAGUCGCCUUGAGCGACUCAGGUAACCUAAAUGGUCAUAACAAUGUAAAUGGGCCCAAGGCCCAUUACUCGGCCCAAGUAGGCCCACACGCUCGAGCGGUCCGUUUAGCUCAAAUUUUGCCAUGACUAUGAGAUCUACAUAGCCCAGUCCAAUAUUGGCCACAAAUCGUAGAUUUUAUCCGUGUGGGGCCUACGAGCCUAUUGAGCCCACACGGCCUAUUUCGACCCAACGUGACCCAUUACGACCUCAGCCCAUAAAAAUGCUCAUAAAGGCCUCUAUAGUCUAUCGCCCAUGAUUCACGGGUUUGGCUUACUACAUGAACGAUCGCACGCUUGUGUGGUCUCAAUUACCGUAUUUCUCACUUUUCGACUUUUGCCGUUCUACAGUUACAGUGGGGUGUUUACACACCUUGUUUCUAUUCGUCACGUGCAGUCGCUUAAGCACCCACCAACCUACAUUUGGCCAAUCAAACACUACCAUCAAUCCUACUUUACAGUUAACAAUAAACUCGAAAUCUACAGCCCAUUCAUAGAAUAGAGUAGCGUUACCUUUGAUCGAACCACGAUCAUUUCCACGAAUCUAGUCUUCAGCGAUUGAUUAGGAAUCCUUGAAUCCUUCCUUAACUGCCAUACAAUUGCUAUCAGAUAUUACUAAAAGCAGAAGAAGAAAGAAAUAUUGAUUUGUUUAAAGAACUUACCGAAAGAGAGCAAAAGAAUCAAAUAAUAAAAGGAUUCAACACUAGGACAACCCUUCACCCUCGAUUUAAAGCGAAAAGAAAAGAGUAGAGUUAAUCGGUGGAAGAAGAGGAAAGGUUUCAGCAGUGGUCAGAACUGGUAAUCAACAGCACAACACAAGAAGAAGUGAAGAGGAGGAUCGGUUUAGGGGAGAAGAGGGAAAUAAAUCGAAGGAGACAAAAAAGAAUAUUCGGCCAACUCAAUGAAUGGGAAGAAGAGGUUUUCGGCAAACGCAAUGAAUGGAGAGAAUUAAAAUUUGAUAAACUUAAUGGACGGGGAGAAGUAAUAUUCGGCAAAGGAAACAACUCAACAAAGCAAAACCAAAAAAAAUGAGAAGCCCCCUCUAGCCAAAUUCUUGCGUGCCACCGAGUCCACUUCCGGCACUACAUUCCCUCUCCCUUCAUCGCUUGAUUUUCUCCUAAAAUCCAUCCUCAAAUCUCUCCACCUGAUCACACCUCCCCUCAACCACUUAAUUUGAAUUCUUCUUAACCACUUUACUAUCAAAAUUUUAGUCCAACACAAACUCACACACGGAACAAGCAGCAAAAUAACACCCCUUGUUUGCACAGGUAUUUGAACUCAAAACCCAUUGAAAAGAAAAUUCUUAGCUAUGGUGUUUCGGCUAUAGAAAAUAAAAUUCAAGAAGAUGAUAGGAUUUUUGGCUUUUGUUUUAAUUAAAGUUCAUUUAUUUACUUAAUUACUAUUGACCCUUUUAAUUUGCAUCCAAAUCUAUCAACUCGAACUAACUGACCCAAAUGACUAAUCAUAGAAAACUCUCUAGCAGUUUUUUCAGCAGUUAUACCUAGACUUGCAGAAACAACACUAGCUAUAUACGAGUGAGUAGAUCCAAUAUCAAUGAGAGCAUAGUACAAAACAAAAUGAAUAAAUAUACAUAUUAUGACGUCGACAUCAUCACUAUCCUCACAGCAUCUUGUCGCAUAAAUCGGUGUCGUCUAUUGAGGCUCAGUCUAACCGAUACCUCUACCAGUGCUCUUUGUUCUUUCCCCAAACCAUUACCCGUCUACUAGUACCACGACCCCUAAGUGGUUACUGAACCACUCUUGGAGGCUGUACAGAACCCGAAGCCGAAGUCUGUGUUUUAACUUGCACCUGAUUUGGUUGACAAGGAUAAUCCCUAACCCGAUGCUUCAUCGACCCGCAACGAAGGCACAAUUCUAACUUCUUCCAGCAGUCAUCUGGAUGGCAUUUCCCAUAAUUACUAUAGAGUUGAAUCUUGGGCCUCGGGGGCCUAUCAAAUCUCGUCCGUUUCUUAGGGCACUAUCUAGAACCAGAGGGACCCGAAUCCCCAUUAAUCUUAAUCUAAUCCCUCUUGUGGUCACAUCGCUCAUGCUCAUUAGGCUUUACCUCUUGCAUUAUCUUUUCUUUAUCAACCAGAACCGUAAAAACCCCUCUCUCUGAAGAGCUAUUAGAACCCACAAUCAUAUUGCAAUCCUCCCCUAAAUCUCACGCAUUUAUCAUCGUUAGAUGCUACCAAUGCUCAUGCAUAUCUACUUAGUCGCAGGAACACAACUUCAUAUUCAGCCACAGGUCGAUCUCCCUAAACUAGUCUCAUAAACUUGGGUUGGCGGGCCUCUGCAUAACUCGCAUCCGCAUACUUGUUCUGGAAGGCAUUCUUGAAAUAAUCCUAGUUAACUUUUUUGGGCUGAGCACCUUGCUCAACCGUUAGCCACCACUUAUAAGCCUCAUCCCGAAGUAGAGACACAAUACCCCUCAAUUUCUGAGUGAGAGUGCAAUCAUUAUCGGUUAUGAUACGCUCGAUAGCUUCGAGCCAAUACUCAAUAACAGUAGGGGCGACUCCAAUGACACCCCUAAACAAUUUAUCCCUUCGAUCGGAGUUGUUCAAUAACCGUCCCAUGACCUCCAGAUAUAGAAUGGGUCUUAGCAACCCUAUCCAAUGUCCAAAUCAUGGCUUGAGACAGUGCAUUUUCCCCAAUCGUCAGAGUCUAGGACCCCGUUUCAAGAGUAGGAGUACCAAUUGUCUCGCUGGUCUCUAAGUUGGGCAUACUACCCAUAGAGGAUGACUCCGCUUGAGCUCCUUUUCGGCAUCCUUGACGCCCACGAGUUCCAUAUCCAUGACUACGGCGCGAACUCAUUUUACCAAUCUAUCUAUAAUGUCAGAGUGUACAGAUCAAUUUAAGCUUCCAACAGAAUAAUCUCGCUAGUUCAGAUCUACCCAUUUAACCAGAUAGCAGUUUAUGUAAUACAAUGUUUCAAUUAGCCAUUAUAACAUAAUAGAAAUACUUACAGGUUCGGCGUCGGAGGCUUGGUCAUUUAAUAAUAUUUUAGUUUUCAUAUUAACUCGGAUAUCAUAUUUUUGUUUAACUACUCUUUAUCUCACAUUAUGAGCCCAAACACAGUUCGUGUGUUGACUAAUUUGGCUCUGAUACAACUAAAUGUAACACCCUAAACUCGACCUAUACGUCCAGACCAAGUCUAAAGGGUUACAUUGACGAUUUUAAGAAAACUACAUUUAUAAACGCAGUCAAAAUGAAUCUAUUCAACAUAUUAUAAUUAUCACACCAAUUAAUUAUCUAUAUAAUCUCCAAACAUCAUAAUAUCGUAGAAAGCUACAAUUACUAAUAGUAAAGUGAAAAGGAAAGAUAAAUGGAUUGACCAAGCUCCCGUAGCGCUGACCCGUUCAAGUUUGAGAACCACCUGAAAUUCAGUCAACAAUGAAAUCAGUUUUGUACCCAAUGCAUAAAAGACAUUCGUUCAAAUAAAACAUGUGCAUAAAAGACAUUCGUUCAAAUAAAACAUGUUUAUAGAUAAUUUCUGAAUCUCAAGAUUUAGUUAGAUAACAGAAGUAAUUUCGGUUUAGAUAUAGAACGGAUCAGAUACAUACGCAAAAGCAAUUUCAGUUUCAAAUACAUAACAUAUCAGAUAUAUAUGCAAUUAUUCUUAUCCCAUCGGCUAAACACCAUCUUCGACAAUCCUAACACACCAUUAAAGGCGUUCAAUGCCCAACCAACCCUACACACCAUAGAUUGUCUGUUUGACAUAUUUACAAAGAUACAUACUAGCUACUAUAUCGAAAAUGUGACAAAGCACCAGAUUUAUAUAUCUAUAUAUAUAAGGUGGCUUGGCCACUAAUUCAGAGCAAAUCACUUCCUCCUUCACAAAUAUCCUAAACCCAUUAUAUAUAUAAUAUGGCUUAGCCACUAAUUCAGAGCAGAUCACUUCCUCUUUCACAAAUAUCCUAAAUUCAUGCAAAUGCAAAUUACAUAUAUCAACAACAUGUGUUCAGUCAUUCUGAUUCAAUUCAUAAAUAGUUAAUACAUAUCAGUGUCAUUAAUAGUCAUCACAAUUUAUAUACAUUUAUAUACUUCAUAUCUCAAUCUCAUAGUAUCAGACAGUCCUUAUACAAUCAAAUUCAGAUCAUAAAUACAUUGUGAAGGCUAGUACUCGUGCUAAACAACACUCACGACCUCAAAAAUUAGGUUCGAACCUUAUUUAUGUGCGACACGGCUGGACACAAGCCCAUGUCAUUUGCUCGUGUAGUUUUAAAUCAUAAACAGUAAGUUACACAACCUAGACACACGCCCGUGUCCUUGCUCGUGUGGCUCACACGGCCUGACCCUUGCCCGUGCCAUCUGCUCUUGUGAGUCUAAAUCGCAAACAGAGAGUUACACGACAUGGACACACGCCCGUGUCCUUACUCAUGUGACUCACACGGCCUGGGCUCAGGCCCGUGUCCUUGGCCGUGUGGUCCUAAUUUGUAAAUAGUGAGUUACACGACCUAAACACAUGCCCAUGCCCUUUACUCGUGUGAACCUUGCACUAACAUGGCCACACACGGCCUGGACACACGGCCUGGACACACGGCCAACCAUACGAUCUACCACACGGCCGUGCGGCAUCGAUAGCCACAUUUUUCGGCGUCCAAAAUUCACAAAAACAGGGGUUUUCGGUACACACCUGCGAUAGUUUCUAAGUAUAAACAACGUAGAAGAAUCCCAGAACCUAAAAUGACCAUUCAAUAAUCAAUUAUACAAUCAUUCUCAAAUCAUCGCUAAGAUCGACCUAUCGCCAAAAUUUUGUCAAAAGUUUUGACACAACCCCAACUCAAAUUCGCACACUUAUCUUUCAUGUAUUAGCAAAAAACCAGACUAACGCGAUGGAGGAGUGCCUUUCGUAAGUCAUUCACCUAAAAAGGUAACCAAUUGAACACUUAAAUAAAGAAUUCAAGUAAAACAAGUAAAAUCUCAUUUCGGCAGAAUAAACGAUAACAAGACGAAAAAUCGUAGAGACUGAAUGAGAUAACUACAAAACUUACACAACGAUUGCAUAAACAACGCAAUGAGCAACAAAAGAAUUCCCAGUUAACACAGUAUCAAGAAUUGAAACAAGCAAAAAUAUAAAAGAAGAAGAAAAGAAAAAAAACAAAGAAAAAAUAAGAAUAAGAAUAAGAAUAAGAAUAAGAAUAAGAAAGGAAACAAAAAGGAAAAAAAAAGAUCAUAGAAUUAGUUCAAAAUAAUUUAAGUUAACCACCAACCAACCUUCCAAUGUUUAGUAAAAAUAUUCCUCAUUGCAAACUCAAGGAUUCAAAUACAGGACCAAAUAGAAUAUAAAUGUAUAACCAUUGAACCAACAAACUCAUUCUUAACACAAGGUUACAUUGUAUUAAACUUAUUUAUGUAUAGAGGUUAUCUUUAAAAUAAAAUAAUAAAACUUCUAAAAAUACGACUCGAACUCCUAACGUCAAUCACAUAAGUAGAGCACAAAACCACCGAUACAAAGAUUUAAUUAUGAUGAAAUUCAAUAGUCAAUGUUAAAAUUUUGGGGUGUUACAUCCUUGGUAUUCGCUUUUUCUUCAAAUUAGAAGAAAAAUAGGAUCGUCUCUUAGUUUUGGUAAGGCCCCGUGUUCGAUGCUUGAACAAUACAUUGUUGGUUAAAAUAACUCUAUUCUUAAAUUUCGUUUUUAUUUUAUCGAAGAAAAAAUUGGCGUGGUUCGACUGGUGUAUAGUUGGGUGAUACCAUGAGAUUAAGUGAUCUAAUUUAAAUAAUAUGCACAAUUGAGAUUAUUAAUUAAACUCUCCUCAUUUUGCAAGAUCGUCAAGGAAUUAAAUUGUCGGGAUGUUCUUGUAGUUAAUUUAUAACUAAAGAAGUACUGAUACAAUAUGUCAAAUAUGAGGGUUAAAUUAAUUAUUAUACCAAUUCUAAUACUCCCCCAACUUGUAAAACAUUUAACAAGACUUAGCAGAAAAAAAACCAAAAAAAAAAAAAAACUAAAAUAGUUGAAGGGUGAUUUUGUAAGUUUCAAAAGUGUGAUGAGAAAAAAACAAACAAACCUAGAGUGCAAUUUAUCUAUUGUUUCAAUAAAAGUAUUGGUCCAGCUCAGUUGUACUCGAUUAUCAUCAGGCCCCCACCCUUCGCUGUAAAUUCUCCCUUGUGAUCUCCUGUACAUGGCCUUUUCUGAUUCGUCAUAGUAAAUCUGAAACCCCGCUAUCCUCUCCUACCCUUCCUUUCCCUUUUUUGUAUUACUUUUGCGCAGCCAGUGGUACACCUUCGACGCAUCAAAAAAGAAAAAACCUUAAUUUAUUAUUGUAACUGAUGUGAUGAAUUCAAAGCAGAAAAGGAAUUCAUUAAUCCGAAUCCACGUCAUCAAUCCUCGUAGUGUCGCAUGAAAUAACUGGAUACCGUUGGAUAAACACCCCCCAAUAAGCUAUCCCUAGCCGUUGGAUUAUAGCUCCUACCAUUGUUCUUCUCCCUUUCCUUCCAUCUCACAGCCAAGUUUUCCCUUUUAAAUCCUAAAGCCUUCUCAACAAAAUCAACAAUUAACAGUUCACUACUUCGUCUUCCUCUCACUCUCUUCUUCGCUUUCUCUUAAAUAAUAAGAAAGCUAAGAGAAAAAGCUCUAAAUUUCAAUGGCGACCGAAGAAAUUAGUCGAACUCAAGGCCUCAAUCCUUCUCAACAAUCUUCUUCACUUCCAGACUACCCUCAGGUAGUUUGCAUUUCGUUGUUUUGUUGGGCUUUUCCAGAUCAUUUCAUUUGAUGUUAACUUUUUUUUUUUUAAAUUUUCUGAUUUUACUUGAUAGAUGAUUUUGGAAGCCAUAGAGGCAUUGAAUGAGAAAGAGGGUUCCAGUAUGUCAUCCAUCGCCAAGCACAUCGACUCCACUCACUCCGAUCUCCCAGCGUCUCACUCCACUCUCCUCUCCCACCACCUCAACCAGAUGAAACAAAUGGGUCAAAUUGUUAUGUUGAACAACAAUUACUCGAAACCCGACCCCAAUGCCCCACCCAAGCGUGGACGUGGACGUCCACCUAAACCCAAGGUUCCUCUUCCACCUGGCGUCGUCGUCUCUCCUCCCAGACCUCGUGGUCGUCCGCCUAAGCCGAAGGACUUAUUGGCUCCCCCCAAGACCAAAUCCGUCAGCACCGGAAGGCCACGUGGGCGCCCCCCUAAGAAGGCUAAGACUGGUACCAACACUGCUCCUCCACCUCCUCCCGGCGUGAAGCGAGGCCGCGGUCGACCUCCCAAAGUGUUACCGUCGGUAGGUUUUCAGUAAAGCAGCCAACUUAAAUGAAAGAGAAUGGAGAAAAUGGCUCAUACCGUCAUUGCUCCACCUCCCGCUUUAGGUUUAAUAUUUUUUUAACCUUAAUUUUUUAGGUGUGGUUUAGUUAUCAGCUAAUUGACGUUUUAGCUGUUUUUUUUUUUCCUUUUUAAUUUUUAGUUAACUUGGGGUGGGGGUACUGUAAUGAUUUUACUGUAGGGCUUAGACUUUACUUUUGUUCGACUCCUUGUAAUUUCCAUGUAAUUGUUAAGACCCUUUUCUUUACCCUUUGAUCACUUUUUUUCAUUUCUUUUGCUUUUGCUUUUAUAUUUUUCUAUUAAAAGAAAACAGUACAACUAAUCUAAAUAUCUUUUGCUUUUUACCAUUUUAUUUUUAAGAAGACAAGUUGUAAGGUUAGCUUUUCUAAAUAAUAAUUUCAAUUAUUUGGAAUGUUAUUUAAGGUUAAAAUAUGUUGUGGUACAUUUAUUUAGACACAAUUUGAAGUUUUUAUAUUUAAGUAUCAAAGUAUGUUGAAUUCCAAAUUUAACUUUGUGUAAAUGAACCCACAACAUGUUUAUUAAAUAGUUUUUAUAUGAUGAUUUUGUUUUGUAAUUGGUUGAUUGUUGAUUGUAAUGGUUGGUUUAAUCAAUUGAUUUUAUUAAUUGUAUAUUUAAAAAGUGAUUGAUAAAAUUUAACUGAUAGUUGAAAGCUAAUAUUUGUAAAAUAACAAAUAAAUGUAUGACAUUUUAUUAUUAAGUGUUUGUUUGUUUGUUUAUAAUACUCUAGUCUUUAUUGGGUGAAAUUAUUGAAAUAAAAUAUUAUUAUCAAGGAAUUAAAAUAUCCAUUGUGAAAAUUAAUUAGUGAAUAUUUUUUUAAAUAUAUUUUUGAUUUUGAAGGUAAAAAUGAAAAUGAGAGAAUGAAGGUUACAAUGCUUUGAGAUAUCUAUUAGGUUUGAAAAUAUGUGGCAAAAUAAGUAAUUUUUGAGCAAGCAUCAUUGGAUAUAUCAUUUAAUAUGUCUCAUUCCUAAUUAGUUGUGAAAAAAGUUAUCCAUUCUAGUAUUUUUUUGUUUUGGAGGUUUUAGUUCAACAAACUUUUACAAAUUUUCAUUCACCAAACACUGCAAUUAGUGAUUUUGACUACUCAAUCAUUAAUUUAUGUUAAAAUUAGUUAAAAAAAAAGCUUAAAACUCUGUAUGCAGGUAAAGUGAAUUUUAAACUUUUAAAAUAUAGUAAUUAAAACAUAAAAUUUGAGUAAAGUAUAGGGUCUAAUAGCUUGUUUUAAUUUAUAUAAAAUUGCUAAAGAAGCAUACUUAAAAGUUUAAAUGAUUUGAAAAAAAGUAAUGUCUAGGUUGUUCAAAUUCAUUUAUUUUUAAAAGAAAAUUAAAUUUUUGUUAAUACUUGCAACAUGUAAUAAUAUGAUAUCAUAUUAUUAAUUGACAAUAUAAUGCUAUCACAUUUUAAUAAUAUUAUUGUAUAAGUAUCAAAGUAUGUUGAAAAAUUAAAUAAAAAAAAUUUAAGCACCAAUUAACUACAAUUCUACAAAUGAGAAAAGUUCAAAAAGCAAAGUAUAUAUUAACCUUCAACAAUCAAUUAUAACACAACAUGGUAUGAAUAAAAUAAUAUGAACAUGUUUGAACAAGCAAAAAAAAAAAAAACCUAAAAUUUUAUAUAAAUUAAAUUAUUAAUGUUUUGAAAUCUGUAUAAAUAUAAUAUACAUAGGAAUACAUUAGUUGUUUAUUGAAAAUUAUUACAAGUUUAAUUUAAUAUAUUUUAUUUUUCAAACUGGAUCAAUAACUUGGUCUGUGUAUAAUUUUUAAAAUUUUGAUCUAAGAUAAUUUAGACAAAAUGUUUUUCUAAAAAAAAUUAAAGCAGUUUAAAGAAAACUUUAGCGAUAAUAUUGUUUUGUAGUAAAUAAUAUAAAAUUUUGUUGAAAUUAAAUUGGGUCUGAAUAAAAAGUUUGAAUUUAUCUCUGACCAAAUUGUUUGAAAACGAUAAAAAUCAAAAGCCUAGACAAAAAAUCGAUAAUUAAACUGAUUUAUGUUAUAAAAUAAAUAGACAGAGAGUAAAGAACAAAAAAAAUGAGAGAGCAAUAGAGAGCGUAUUUUAUUGAUAAAUCAGAAUAUUUACAAAGCUUCUUCAAAAUCUCUAUUUACAUAUCUAUAAUAUGCAUGAUAUGCUACCUCAUUAAAAAUCUUACCAGGAAAAUCCAAUAGGACAAAACCUCGGUUAAGGGAAAAAGAGUACGACGCGUAUUUACUCACCCUCAUGAAAACAUCACAUAUUCUAAGUAUUCAAACUUGAAUACUAGUUUUUCAAAUGACCAUUUGAAUGUAUUUGCUAAACAUUUAUAUUACCAUUCUUUUGAAAGUCAUGAGUGAUGGAAAAUUAAGGGGAAAAUAAAUUUUGAGCUCUUCAAGAGUUUCAACAAUAAUCAUAGCAAACUUUACUCAUGAUUCUUCUAUAAAAACACAAAUAGAUAUUUUGGAUCAUAUUAUAAUCCUCCUUCAACUACUAUUUACCACAUAUAUUCAAAUUAUUUCAAUUCAUAUAUAUGAACAAUUUCUCGAGAAUGUCAAUAUGCUUCUAGCAUCCAAAAUCCUUCAAGGAUUUUAAUAUAAACUUUACUAUAUAGUGGUUCAUAAAAGGUUAUACCAACAAUCAUUAGAUACAUGUUAAAUCUUUUAUGAAUUGCAGAAAUAAUAUAUCUAAAGGUUAUUGCAUCCACUACAAAAAAAUAUUAUAUCUUUUUAUAAUCAAUGCCAGGACUUAGCGAAAAACUUCAUAUUUUUAUUCUGCUUUUGUAAAACUACUUAUUCGCACCCUCACUGGCUUUAUACCUUUAGAUAUUUGGACUACUGGUCCAAAAACCUACACGAAUUUAAUUGUACUUGAGUUGCGUCUUUCAAUUUUGAUCCAUUUACUCCAUUUCUAUAUUUCUCAAUAUAUUUAUUCAAGAUCCUCCUUCUAUUUCAUUAUUUCAAUAAUAAUAUUGCAUGUAAAAUCAUUGUCGACCACUUUUAUUAUCCAGUUCCACAUUUUCUCUAAUUUACAUAACUUAUCGAGAUCUCUUAUUUUCAUUAUUUUAAUCUUCAGUUUCAAGUACCUGAAUCUCUUCUAGAGUUUUAUUUAUUAGUUAUGUUUUCGGCCUCUUCUGGAGCACCCGCCUCCACUGUAUGACCGUCUAGAAUAAUUUUCAUCUUUGGAAUCAAUCAAUCUAUUAUUUAUUCUAACUGAAUGUCCUAUUGGGACUUUGAUUCAAAUUAAAAUAUUAGAUGGUAUAUAACAAUUGGUUAUUCUCAUUAAGUUUGUAAAUACAUCUAACAGUUAACUUAUAAUGAGUUAUCCUUGUUGAAUUUUUGGUUAAAAUUACUCUUCCCCUAGCUCAUUACAAGUUAUUAUUUCUCUCACUCUAAUAUCGGGGAAACUAUCGAAUCAAAAUUGUAAUCAUAAGUCAUGUCAUAAUUGAAUCUUCAAUACAUUUAAAACAUCUAAUAAUAGAAAGAAACUUGUAAUUAAUAUAUAUUCCCAAAUUUUUUUGAGGAUUCACUCAUCUUUGUGCGUUGUGGUAGAGCAAUUGAAACAUAUACACCCAUACAAAAAGAUGAGAAAUAUUUAGCUCUUGAUCAAAAACCAAUUGUCAUGGGGAGUAUUUAUAACUUAUUGGCUUGAUGCAUAUAACAAGUAAACCAACAUGAUCUCAUGUUGAAAUAGGAAGUUUAGUUAUCAUAAAUAAUGGUUUAGACAUUAAUCAGAGGCGUUCAAUCAAUAAUUUCUCUAAACCAUUAUGCGCAUAAAUAAAAAUAUUUUACAAAAGUUUUUCAAACUCAAUCAUUAAAAGACUGAGAUACAAACUCAUCAGUAUUGACAAGAUAAAUUGUCUUAAUUGCAUGAUUUGAAUUUAAUUAUUUAAACAAGCAAUCUUGCAAACGACAGGUUGCA
RNAcentral lists this long non-coding RNA (30079 nucleotides) under Gossypium barbadense (sea-island cotton). Its description in RNAcentral is "long non-coding RNA (GBAR_LNC021908)". The record is from RNAcentral. Lineage: Eukaryota; Viridiplantae; Streptophyta; Magnoliopsida; Malvales; Malvaceae.